UUGAUUGUUUAGAAGCUAUACUCAGAAGUGCCACCGUAAAAACAAGAGUUUAGUGGUCUUCUGGCGGGCACCCUUUAGCGGCAGGGCGGCCGGGCCCCUCCCAGGGGCCACCCGCCGAAGCAACGAUAGUAGGUUCACAGGGGUUCGAGUCGGAGACUCUUUCGUAAUGAUCCCUCCGCUGGUUCACCAACGGAGA
RNAcentral lists this unclassified non-coding RNA (196 nucleotides) under uncultured fungus. RNAcentral describes it as "sequence contains ITS1". Lineage: Eukaryota; Fungi. The record is from RNAcentral.